Molecule: long non-coding RNA, 2072 nt
Organism: Panicum virgatum (switchgrass)
Lineage: Eukaryota; Viridiplantae; Streptophyta; Magnoliopsida; Poales; Poaceae
Exons: 2
Source: RefSeq, a predicted model, not a curated record
UUUGAGUUGGCUGCGCCCUCAAACUCUACUUGGUGGGGGGGGGCAUUUGUUCGAUGGUAUUUUGAACAUGUUUCUCAAAGUAAACAAGCUAAGAUAUGCAUACGUAUGAGAUAAGAGAAGCAAGCUAACAUGCAAGGAAGUCCACACAUGCUAGCUGCACCGUGGCCGCGGUUAAUGGGCUGGAGUUGCUAAGCUUCAAGCAUUAUUGGGCUGAUCAGUAAAGAAUUAGCACUAAUUAAUCUGAUGCAUGUGGGCUCUUACCUGACCCAUGCAUGGCCCAUGCAUCCGCCCAUGCGAGCCUCGUGCGGUGCAUACGAGUGGAUCGUCUCCACGAAUUAUCUUCUGGAAGCUUCUCGCAUGCACACGUGCGCCAGCUGAAAGAUAAGAUCAAACUUUCAAAUUUUGAAUUAGCAGUCGCGCGGCGUGGAACUGAUCCGAGCGCUUCGCUCGGGCGCCGGCUUGCUCGGCAACGGAUUAGAGGCAGCGCACGGCUCGACACUCCUCUCCUGGCCCCUGCCUCCAGCCUAUAAAAGAGACCCCUCAGUCUCUCACGAGGGGGACACCCACAUCCAUCUACACCACGCCGCCCGACUGCGCACGGCCACCAUCGUCACCACGCUCUGCACUGCGCCAGUCCGCCGGCCGGAGUUUGUGAUCAACGGCGACGACUGUCGUGCGGCCAUCUCCAUCUCCAUCACGCACACGACGCCGGCGAGCGAGUCCGCGGCCUGCGGCGGGGUUCCGGCCUCGGCUUCACAACGCCACGCAACUGACGUCGUCGCCGUCGAACACUUCGGCGUCGACUCCAUGGCUCCCAUCCUUCUCGCCGGUAACUCAGGUUGAGAUCGAUCUAUCUUAUUUGUUUUAUUCUUGUUCUUGCAUGUUUCCUUUCAGCACCCAUGCAUGAAGGAGUUCUGCACAUCAUCGUGGGCAUCUCAUGGUCUCCAUGAAGGAGAUUGUCGCUCCUCGCGGUGAGCAGCCUGCCACAUCGCCGACCGCCGCCGAGAUCGCCGUCGCCGUAUCCCCGCCGUGGCUCGAUGCCGUCCGGCUCGCUGUUGUGCAGUUCGCCGCCGGAGCUCGUCCAUGAACAGCCCGCCUCGUCGCCGGCCGCCGAGAUCAUCACCGUCUCGCCGCCACGGAUCGCUGCUGUCCAACUCGCCGCCAUGCAGCCGGUCAUUGGAGCUCGUCGUCUCUGAACAGCCUAUGUCACCGAGAUGCAUCUGUCCAGGAAAGGCCACGAUGCCCUGCAUGCAUCAAGUCAAGAGUUGUUCCUGUACAAGUUUAGAAGCCACCAGAUUGGAUCAACGUGAACAUGUGCUGCCUCUUCAUUCUCGACGUUCACGGAGAGAGGAGUGAUGCCGAUGUGUUCUGUCUUCGACCGGGUUGCAAUCGCCUAGACCCCGUGUCUGUGUCGCGGGUUGCAUACCGGCCGGAUCCGCGCCUGUCAAGUCCCUAUGAUUAUUGAAGACACUUCUAAUUUGCUACGCCAUCUGACGUCUAACUGAUCGAACUGAGCGCCACCAUGCACUACAUCAACGACUCUAUUGCUGUACUUGCUGUUCGUGACCGACGAGGCCGAACGGCACGGGCGGACGUUGUCGACGUUUCGACUGCGUUACCAUCGGCCCAUGGACCGAUGAGGCCAUGAUAAUGCCGACGCCUGCAUUCAUCCAUCAUCAUCAUCAUGCACGGAGGACGCAAAGUGAAGAUCGAAGAAGACGACCAUUGCAGCUUAAUCGGAGGUGUUCUGCGACUAUCUCGCAGAUGUAAUUAACUAGGAGCCUUCUGAGGCCCUAGGAACCAGAAGAUCACAUCGCCCAUGUUCGAUCUGCCCCACGGCAGGCUAUGGAGCGCCCAUAUAUAUAAGGAACCUGUAUUUGUAUUUGUUGAAAAAUAUGAAUAAAAUAUGUGUUCCUUAUUUGUUCUUUGUCUAUUUAUUUUUUGUGUACUUAGUACACUGGCACGCCCGCAAUUUAUUUUCCUCCGCGUGUAGAGGAAACCCCUUUGGGUAUUUUUCUCCCCAAACAGUUGCAUCAUCAAUCAUAGUCGCACAAAGCUACUGUGCCUGCGAA